This 1333-nucleotide long non-coding RNA is filed under the name Oryza sativa (Asian cultivated rice). Its description in RNAcentral is "long non-coding RNA (OSAT_LNC001196)". Lineage: Eukaryota; Viridiplantae; Streptophyta; Magnoliopsida; Poales; Poaceae. The record is from RNAcentral.
UUGAUUCAUCGUCAGUUCGUCAGACUCUUAUCACAAUUUCCUUCUCCCGGUCAGGUGCACUUUGCCUCUUUUUUGUCUUGGUCAUGUUCACCUGACAAUCACAACUCACAACUUCAUGCAAAUCAAAACAAAAAAAAAAUCACUUGGUUUCUUCAGGAACCAAACCAUGAAAAUUGAGAUGAAAUUUCUGGCCUUGUUGUCUACUGAUAGCAAGAAGCAUCAGACGCUGAUGUGGACAGGCAGAAGAACUGACCUUCUUCUCCUUCUCCUUCUAUUCCUUCGCCGUGCUGGCGCUGUUGUUCUGCCUACUCUUUGUCAGUACAGCAAUAGUGCACUACAGGUACAUAUGUGGUGCACUACAGCUCGUCAAGCUGGAAUGACAAAAAAAAAAGCGUGAACUUUUGAGGGGCAUAAGAAAGUCUAACAUUUUUUUGCUGUACAAAGCAGAAGGCAAUCAAUCAGGCAGCUCACCUGAUUUCUCCUACGCUAAUCAGGUCCAGUGAUUUGGAGAAUUUCCUGGCAGCAACAAGCCAGCAACUCGGCGGAAUUUUAGGAGAUAAUUCUCGCUGAUUAGUCUGCGACGCAACGAGGGACUUACGAGGUGACCGGAGACACCAUGGCCUUCCGUUCGCUGUUGUGCUCCCAUGAGCAGAGAGAGACCGACCGGAUACGGAAGAAGGACGAGAAGCAUAGCAGAAUUAAUCGUGACGGACAACAAGCAUCCGAAAUUAGGAGUGCUGGCAGUGCAUGAAAGCGGCAAGUUUAAUACUAGUAGUACUCAUUUCACACCGCUCCCGCUUUAUAUGCACGGAAGGGGACAACCCGAUCGAUCGGAAACAGAUCCUAUGCGAUUUUGCGGGGAUGGUAUGCAAGUCUAACAUCCAACGAGCCCAUAUGUUAGUGAUCCACAUUAAAGAGGAAGAGACUCAUCCUGAUCGAUCAGUGCUGAAAACAGAAGCAUAAGUCCAUCGGAAAUCUCGGUAAGAUAUAUGCCCGGCAGGCGAGGCCAGUGUGAAAACUAGGGUCGCCAAACGCCAUGAUGCCAUAUGCUUGCUUGUAUGCCCAAGCAAAGCGGCUUGUACGACAGGCCGAGGGCAGCGUCGGGGGCAACCAAAACCUACCAACGGCCAACGCAACGCAAGCAGCACAGGAGAAGCAAGCACAAGACUCGACCGGCUCUGCCUACGCGACAGAUAUCCAUACGCCUCCUCCGGUCGGCUUCGCGUGCAAAUAUAUGUCGCGAGCCAAGAACCAAAGCGCAAGCUGCCUUAGCUUCUCGUCUCCUUCCACCGCCGGCAACACGUCACAGGUGCGCGCGGCGCAUCCAUAAGCG